GCUUUUAAAGGAUAGAAGUUAUCCGUCGGUCUUAGGAACCGAAAACUUGGUGCAACUCCAAAUAAAAGUA
RNAcentral lists this transfer RNA (70 nucleotides) under Lyroderma lyra (Indian false vampire). RNAcentral describes it as "tRNA-Leu". The record is from RNAcentral. Lineage: Eukaryota; Metazoa; Chordata; Mammalia; Chiroptera; Megadermatidae.